Dreissena polymorpha is the source of this 1434-nucleotide long non-coding RNA. RefSeq lists it as uncharacterized. The record is from RefSeq and is a predicted model, not a curated record. NCBI's taxonomy places the organism in Eukaryota, Metazoa, Mollusca, Bivalvia, Myida, Dreissenidae. The transcript is spliced from 2 exons.
UUUUUAGCUCAUCUAUUUUUUGAAAAAAAAAUUAUGAGCUAUUGUCAUCACCUUGGCGUCGGCGUCGGCGUCCGGUUAAGUUUUGCGUUUAGGUCCACUUUUCUCAGAAAGUAUCAAUGCUAUUGCAUUCAAACUUGGUACACUUACUUACUAUCAUGAGGGGACUGGGCAGGCAAAGUUAGAUAACUCUGGCGUGCAUUUUGACUGAAUUAUGUGCCCUUUUUAUACUUAGAAAAUUGAAAAUUUUGGUUAAGUUUUGCGUUUAGGUCCACUUUUUUCAGAAAGUAUCAAUGCUAUUGCAUUCAAACUUGGUACACUUACUUACUAUCAUGAGGGGACUGGGCAGGCAAAGUUAGAUAACUCUGGCAUGCAUUUUGACAGAAUUAUGUGCCCUUUUUAUACUUAGAAAAUUGAAAGUUUUGGUUAAGUUUUGUGUUUAGGUCCAUUUUAUUCCUUAAGUAUCAAAGCUAUUGCUUUCAUACUUGCAACACUUACUAGCUAUCAUAAGGGGACUGUGCAGGUAAAGUAAUGUAACUCUGACUGGCAUUUUGACAGAAUUAUGUGCCCUUUUUAUACGCCCGUAUAAAAUACGGGACGUAUUAUGUGAAACCCCUUGGCGGGCGGGCGGGCGGCGGGCGGGCGGGCGGCGGGCGGAAGGCAUCACUUUGUCCGGACUCUAAUUCAAAUUGUAUUCAUCCGAUCUUCACCAAACUUGGUCAGCAGUUGCAUCUAGUUGAUAUCUAGGCCAAGUUCGAAUAUGGGUCAUGCCGGGUCAAAAACUAGGUCAUAGGGUCAAUAAGUGCAUUUUCAAAGGGGCCACUUUGUCCGGACUCUAUUUCAAAUUGUAUUCAUCCGAUCUUCACCAAACUUGGUCAGCAGUUGCAUCUAGUUGAUAUAUAGGCCAAGUUCGAAUAUGGGUCAUGCCGGGUCAAAAACUAGGUCAAAGGGUCAAUUAGUGCAUUUUACUUUGUCCGGACUCUAAUUCAAAUUGUAUAAAUCUUAUCUUCACCAAACUUGGUCAGUAGUUGCAUCUAGUUGAUAUCUAGGCCAAGUUCGAAUAUGGGUCAUGCCAGGUAAAAAACUAGGUCAUAGGGUCAAUUAGUCCAUUUUCAACAGCGCCACUUUGUCCGGACUCUUAUUCAAAUUGUAUUCAUCCGAUCUUUACCAAACUUGGUCAGUAGUUGCAUCUAGUUGAUAUCUAGGUCAAGUUCGAAUAUGGGUCAUGUCGGGUCAAGAACUAGGUCAUAGGGUCAAUUAGUGCAUUUUCAACGGCGCCACUUUGUCCAGACUCUAAUUCAAAUUGUAUUCAUCCGAAACUUUUAAACAACUUUUUAUCCUGCGUCAAAGUGGUAUGGGGGUAUAAGUCACAUUCAGUGACAAAGCUCUAGUUCAAGUUGAUAUCAAUGCAUAUAUAUGAAUAUAUCAGUUAUAUAA